GGAGAGUUGGCCGACCGGUCGAAGGCAACAGUCUUGAAAACUGUAGGGUGUAAAAGCUCCAAGGGUUCGAAUCCCUUACUCUCCU
This 85-nucleotide transfer RNA is filed under the name compost metagenome. Its description in RNAcentral is "tRNA-Ser". It matches the Rfam family "tRNA". Rfam says of the family: Transfer RNA (tRNA) molecules are approximately 80 nucleotides in length. The record is from RNAcentral.